RNAcentral lists this ribosomal RNA (125 nucleotides) under Leptosphaeria sp. RNAcentral's name for it is "partial small subunit ribosomal RNA". It matches the Rfam family "Eukaryotic small subunit ribosomal RNA", at positions 1657 to 1779 of the family's 1831-position model. The record is from RNAcentral. Lineage: Eukaryota; Fungi; Ascomycota; Dothideomycetes; Pleosporales; Leptosphaeriaceae.
CCUUUGUAUACACUGCCCGUCGCUACUACUAAUUAAAUAGCUUAGUAAGGCCUUCGGACUAGCUUAGGGAGGUUAGCAACAACUACCCUAAGCUAGAAAGUUUGUUAAACUUAGUUAUUUAGAGG